RNAcentral lists this ribosomal RNA (2212 nucleotides) under Serratia ureilytica. Its description in RNAcentral is "partial 23S ribosomal RNA". It matches the Rfam family "Bacterial large subunit ribosomal RNA", at positions 1 to 2234 of the family's 2925-position model. The record is from RNAcentral. Lineage: Bacteria; Pseudomonadati; Pseudomonadota; Gammaproteobacteria; Enterobacterales; Yersiniaceae.
GGUUAAGUGACUAAGCGUACACGGUGGAUGCCUAGGCAGUCAGAGGCGAUGAAGGGCGUGCUAAUCUGCGAAAAGCGUCGGUAAGGUGAUAUGAACCGUUAUAACCGGCGAUACCCGAAUGGGGAAACCCAGUGUGUUUCGACACACUAUCAUGUCAUGAAUACAUAGUGGCAUGAGGCGAACCGGGGGAACUGAAACAUCUAAGUACCCCGAGGAAAAGAAAUCAACCGAGAUUCCCCCAGUAGCGGCGAGCGAACGGGGAGGAGCCCAGAACCUGAAUCGGCUUGUGUGUUAGUGGAAGCGUCUGGAAAGUCGCGCAGCAAAGGGUGAUAGCCCCGUACACUAAAAUGCACAGGUCGUGAGUUCGAUGAGUAGGGCGGGACACGUGACAUCCUGUCUGAAUAUGGGGGGACCAUCCUCCAAGGCUAAAUACUCCUGACUGACCGAUAGUGAACCAGUACCGUGAGGGAAAGGCGAAAAGAACCCCGGCGAGGGGAGUGAAAUAGAACCUGAAACCGUGUACGUACAAGCAGUGGGAGCACCUUCGUGGUGUGACUGCGUACCUUUUGUAUAAUGGGUCAGCGACUUAUAUUUUGUAGCAAGGUUAACCGUAUAGGGGAGCCGUAGGGAAACCGAGUCUUAACUGGGCGAUUAGUUGCAAGGUAUAGACCCGAAACCCGGUGAUCUAGCCAUGGGCAGGUUGAAGGUUGGGUAACACUAACUGGAGGACCGAACCGACUAAUGUUGAAAAAUUAGCGGAUGACUUGUGGCUGGGGGUGAAAGGCCAAUCAAACCGGGAGAUAGCUGGUUCUCCCCGAAAGCUAUUUAGGUAGCGCCUCGUGAACUCAUCUUCGGGGGUAGAGCACUGUUUCGGCUAGGGGGCCAUCCCGGCUUACCAAACCGAUGCAAACUCCGAAUACCGAAGAAUGUUAUCACGGGAGACACACGGCGGGUGCUAACGUCCGUCGUGAAGAGGGAAACAACCCAGACCGCCAGCUAAGGUCCCAAAGUCAUGGUUAAGUGGGAAACGAUGUGGGAAGGCAUAGACAGCCAGGAUGUUGGCUUAGAAGCAGCCAUCAUUUAAAGAAAGCGUAAUAGCUCACUGGUCGAGUCGGCCUGCGCGGAAGAUGUAACGGGGCUAAACCAUGCACCGAAGCUGCGGCAGCGACGCUUAGGCGUUGUUGGGUAGGGGAGCGUUCUGUAAGCCGUUGAAGGUGGCCUGUGAGGGUUGCUGGAGGUAUCAGAAGUGCGAAUGCUGACAUAAGUAACGAUAAAGCGGGUGAAAAGCCCGCUCGCCGGAAGACCAAGGGUUCCUGUCCAACGUUAAUCGGGGCAGGGUGAGUCGACCCCUAAGGCGAGGCUGAAAAGCGUAGUCGAUGGGAAACAGGUUAAUAUUCCUGUACUUGGUGUUACUGCGAAGGGGGGACGGAGAAGGCUAGGCUAGCCGGGCGACGGUUGUCCCGGUUUAAGCGUGUAGGGGGUGUGACCUGGUAAAUCCGGUUGCAUACUAACCCUGAGGCGUGAUGACGAUGCACUACGGUGCAGAAGUAGUUGAUGCCCUGCUUCCAGGAAAAUCCUCUAAGCUCCAGGUAACAUUAAAUCGUACCCCAAACCGACACAGGUGGUCAGGUAGAGAAUACCAAGGCGCUUGAGAGAACUCGGGUGAAGGAACUAGGCAAAAUGGUGCCGUAACUUCGGGAGAAGGCACGCUGGCAUGUAGGUGAAGUCCCUCGCGGAUGGAGCUGAAGCCAGUCGAAGAUACCAGCUGGCUGCAACUGUUUAAUAAAAACACAGCACUGUGCAAACACGAAAGUGGACGUAUACGGUGUGACGCCUGCCCGGUGCUGGAAGGUUAAUUGAUGGGGUCAGCCGCAAGGCGAAGCUCUUGAUCGAAGCCCCAGUAAACGGCGGCCGUAACUAUAACGGUCCUAAGGUAGCGAAAUUCCUUGUCGGGUAAGUUCCGACCUGCACGAAUGGCGUAAUGAUGGCCAGGCUGUCUCCACCCGAGACUCAGUGAAAUUGAACUCGCUGUGAAGAUGCAGUGUACCCGCGGCAAGACGGAAAGACCCCGUGAACCUUUACUAUAGCUUGACACUGAACAUUGAGCCUUGAUGUGUAGGAUAGGUGGGAGGCUUUGAAGCGUGGACGCCAGUCUGCGUGGAGCCAUCCUUGAAAUACCACCCUUUAAUGUUUGAUGUUCUAACUCGGCCCC